ACGCCGCCAUGUUGCGGGUCCCCCGCCAUGCUGCCGCUGCCGCCCGGGCUGCGCCGCCGCCUCCGGGAGGGGCCGGUCCCCACCGCUCCCUCCCCGCUCCCGCCGACCCCCCGACCCCCUUCGCCCCCCUUCGCUUUCGUCCCCCGCCGCCUCCGCCUCGGCCCCCACCACCCGCUCUUGGAGGACGGGGACGUCCACAGGCACCUCUACCUCCAGGGCAUCCUCAGCAGCCUCGCCGAGGCGGCCGAGAGCCCCAGGGUGUCUGAAUUCAGUUGCCACAUCUCUGGGUGCUGCCAGGUCUUUGAUACGCUGGAGGGUUACGAGCACCACUACAACACGCUGCACAGGAACGUCUGCUCCUACUGCAAGCGCUCCUUUCCGUCGGGGCACCUCUUGGAUAUUCACAUCUUGGAGUGGCACGACUCGCUCUUCCAGAUAAUGGCUGAGAAGCAAAACAUGUACAAGUGCUUGGUAGAAGGAUGUGCAGAGAAGUUGAAGAGCAGCAAGGACAGAAAGGAUCACAUGGUCACUGUUCACCUUUAUCCUGCUGACUUUCGGUUUGAUAGGCCGAAGAAAGUAAAAAGUGGCCCCAAGCACGUGAGCUCUCCCACGAAGCAGGGUGCCAGCGUGCCGAUGGACGUGAGCGUGGAGACGUCGGAGCAAUGCCAGGUGGACCUGAUGGAAAUAGGGCCCAGUGAGGACAUGGAGAUCCCUCAGCCUGCGGCCAGCCCCGGUCUCUCGGUGCCAGAGAAACGACUCUAUAAAUCCAGGAUCCCGUCCACCAUUUGCUUUGGACAAGGUGCCACUCGAGGAUUUAAAGGACCAAGGAAGAAAGUCUGAAGGUCAACAACGCAGCGGUUCUGUGCAAGAGGUGAAGGCACCAGCUGCUGCCACCUGCAAACUGUUUUUAAGAACUCCCAGCGAGGAAGGCCCUUGAGACAGCACACAGAGGCGGGGAGGGUUGAACCCCACACCAGUUGCUUGCAGGAAGAGUCUCAGACUGCAGCAGAAUGCUGUGCUGUGGAGGUGAGAGGAGAUCAGCUGCUGGAGCUGAGACUACGCGGGAUUAUUUUUUUGAUUUCUUGCCUUUUAGGAGAAAAAAAUAGAUUCGAGCAAUUCCAAGACAAAAUCUACUGACUGUAUGGAAGCUGGAACCACUGACAAAAAAUAGAAAACAGAAGAAAAAGCACUGGUCCUUAAUUCUGACCUUCUCCACCUCACUGAAGUCGGCUCCCCACUCCCUGGUGCUCGCUCUGGAACCCACGCAAAAGCACCACCCAGGACGCGUGGGCACGGCCCACCCUGCGCACGGCCGCGCCCGCCGGCGGGCAAAGUGCGGGGCAAAGGCCCCGGGCGGCCCCACGGAAAGCAGCCAUGGGGUGGUAUGUCCCUGCCCGGCCCCAACGGGCAGCACCGUGGGGCACGGGGAGUGGGGUGGGGUGUCAGGGGUGGGUGCUGGGGCGGGGGGGGGGGUGUUGGGGUGUCAGGCACCGGCCACCCCAGUUAUGGCCACCGUGGUUUCUCUGCCAUCUCCCUGCCAGCCCGGCAGCCGCGCCGCUCUGCGGCAUCACCGUCCUGCUGGGCGCUGCCCUCCUCCUCUCUGCACCCGCAGGCACCCAGGUGAGCCCCCCCACCCCCCCACCCCACCCCACGAUGAGCAGGCACAUGGGGACGGACCCAUGUGUGAUCCGUGCCACCCCAGCACCCUGCUCUCUCCCUGCAGGCUCCAAGCCACAGUGGGCGGAAGGACCCGGCUGCAGAGCAGGAUUUGGCCGAGGAAAUGUAAGACGCACCCGCAUCUGGCUUGCAAAAACCAACAAAGCAACACCCCAAAUUGUAAAGCGUUUUGGGGUGGGGGGGAAUAAAUUUCCUUCGUUGCUUUGUGUGUGUGUGUGUCCCCAAAAUUAAGGGGGUCCCAGCUCCAUUUUUUUCCCCUAAAUCACCCAAACUCUCCAAGCAUCGAGCCCUGGCUGGCUUCCAUUUGCCAGUGGUGGUGGGGAGCCACAGGUACUGCGGCACCGAUGUCCCCGUCCCACCCAGCCCCUUCAUGGGAUAAGCAGCUAAAUCAGCCCCGUUGCUCCCCGAGAUCGUAAUUACAGCUUCCUGGAGUGGGGGUGUCUCACCAGCGUCCCUGCACCCUGAUAGGGUGGGAUUCCCUUGGGGCAGGGUGGGGGAUAUUUAGUAACCCUGUGACCUUUCCUGGCUGGUUUUGCGCCCCGUUUCCAGCAUCCUGGGCCUACGAGCCGUGGAGCCGCCGGAGGAGGGCGAGAUCUCCGAUGAGGUGGAACCAGGUGUAAAGGUCUUCUCCAGCAGUGCCUGGGCUCGCCAAGCCCAGGCGGGACCAGAGGAGGACCGCGACCACCUCUACCACCCCCAGGACAAUGCCAGGGAGGCCGAUGCCCACAGGCCGCUCCGGACGCUGUCUCUGGAGGUGCAGAGAGGCCCGAAUGAAGAUCGUGACCAUAUCCACCACGGCUGAGCGGAGAUGUGCCCGGGCUGAAAAAUGAGGGGUAGGAGCCAGCCCUGGGGUUUCCCGAGGGGACUCAUCCCUCCCUCCCCGCCCCUGAGCCUCUGCAAUAAACCCAUUCCCCCCUCCACGUCCUGGUGGGCUCUUCAUUGCUGCAAGAAACCUAUUGCUAAGUGCAGAGCCCCCAAAUCUGGGGGAUCCCUCCCCUUCCUCGGGCUCGCCCCGAGACCCCAAGGAGGGUGAGAGUAUGAUGCCGCAGAGUGGGGAGCUCGGCCCAUCACCGUGGCCUCGGUUCAGCCCAGGGGGGGGCUGAGGCCAAGCAAACUCAGCACAUCGGUGUUGCACCCAAGGAGAUGCCACAGGCUGUCUCCUCCCCAGUGGGACACACGGAC
Tyto alba (common barn owl) is the source of this 2859-nucleotide RNA transcript. It is a transcript of the gene named zinc finger protein 511, with no coding region annotated. The record is from RefSeq and is a predicted model, not a curated record. Lineage: Eukaryota; Metazoa; Chordata; Aves; Strigiformes; Tytonidae. The transcript has 8 exons.